Molecule: long non-coding RNA, 1390 nt
Filed under: Cyanistes caeruleus (blue tit)
Lineage: Eukaryota; Metazoa; Chordata; Aves; Passeriformes; Paridae
Description: lncRNA (ENSCCEG00000013790.1)
Source: RNAcentral
CUCACUGAAAUCCCUUGUGGGAAAAAAUAAAAAUAAAAAUAGAUUCUGUGUUCUUAAAAUGGAAAACAGAAUAGAAGGUGGAACUCCCGACUUUCAUGGCCCAGCAAAGGUGAGAGAAAAUAAACAAACUGAUCAUCACUGAGUCUUGUGUUUCAGAGGACCAGAAAAGCACUUAAUUUUUAAAUUUCAUCACGUAAAAUUAAGGUUAUCCUCUUUAUUUAAUAAAGUCGGCAAUGUCAUUUUUAAAAAUACUGAAUUUGCUUACAGUUUUGAACUCGCAGUGAAAAAGACAGUCUUGGGAAUAAACAAUCUUGCCCAUCGGUCCUUCAAAAUAAUUAUUUCAGUGAGCAGAAGAGAUAUUUAAAAAUACUAAGGUAAUUGGAGACUUCUGCUUUAGGCAACCUUUUUGUUAUAAAUUGUAUCUGUGUUACUGUCUGGGCUCAGAGAUGAGCAAUCAAUCCUGUAACAGUAAAACACAGAUCUGCCAAAUCAUCUGAAUCUAUAGACAGACCUGAAACACUUCAGUGAAUAAAAAUGAUAGAGAAGGAAAAAAACUGUCCAGAGCUUCUCUUUUACUUCAAAUCUCCAUAUUGAAGAUCUCCUUAAAAUUAAUUUCCCACUUCUGCCUCCUCACAGCCAUGACGGCGCUGAUGACAAGGGGGCAAAUACAAGCCAGCCCCUGGGAAUGCCCAGGUUUAUGACUUCAGCAAGGCAAAGAGAGGCAGAUUUCCCCGGCAGCCUACGUCACAACCCAACCCAGAAUACUUUCCAAGAAGCCCCCUUUGCUGCGCCACCCAGCAGCCUUCCCGUUAGGUCCGGAUAAGCUGCCACUCCAAAAAAAAAAAAAAAAAAAAAAAAAAAAGAAAAAAAAAGAAAAGAAAAAGAGAAUAUUGCUCAUCCAAGCCAAAUGCCCAGGCAGGAAUAUUUUUAAUUGCCGGGUUUCCUUUCUCGGCUCCCCCUCCACACCCGCCCCACGCACAGACAAAAGAAGCUUAGCUUGCGUGACCCAGCGCAUAAGAAGAAAAUCUGUCGCUCCUGCCACCACCAAGCAUAAUAGCUCUCCCGCUGUCAGACCUGCGCCGAGCCCGUAACGCCAGCGCCUGCCGGGGAUGCCACGCUACCCUAGCGCAUCGAACGGAGUGCCGAGGGGCUCCUGCGACCCCAGAAAGUGUCACAAAAUACACCCUUCCCUCGGUCAUGCGGAACCCCGUCCUCCCUUUGUUGAGCAUCCUCUCUCUCCCGCCGCCCCUUACUAGCGCAGCCGGCGCUUCACAAGCCAAGCCGGGCACAUUCGUGGCCGCUCGGCGGCGGCGCCAGGGCUGCGGGAUAACAAUAAGGAAAAAAGGAUAAAAAUAGUACUAAUGGAAAAAUAAAUAAAUAAAUGAACCCC